AAACCAGCACCUCAAGUGGUCAGGAGGAUUAUUGGGCCUAAAGCAUCCGUAGCCUGCUCUGUAAGUUUUCGGUUAAAUCUGUACGCUCAACGUACAGGCUGCCGGGAAUACUGCAGAUCUAGGGAGUGGGAGAGGUAGACGGUACUCGGGAGGAAGUGGUAAAAUGCUUUGAUCUCUCGAUGACCACCUGUGGCGAAGGCGGUCUACCAGAACACGUCCGACGGUGAGGGAUGAAAGCUGGGGGAGCAAACCGGAUUAGAAACCCGAGUAGUCC
RNAcentral lists this ribosomal RNA (274 nucleotides) under uncultured bacterium. RNAcentral's name for it is "partial 16S ribosomal RNA". It matches the Rfam family "Archaeal small subunit ribosomal RNA", at positions 473 to 747 of the family's 1478-position model. The record is from RNAcentral.